GAUGAACGCUAGCGGCAGGCUUAACACAUGCAAGUCGAGGGGCAGCAUAAUGGAUAGCAAUAUCUAUGGUGGCGACCGGCGCACGGGUGCGUAACGCGUAUGCAACCUACCUUUAACAGGGGGAUAACACUGAGAAAUUGGUACUAAUACCCCAUAAUAUCAUAGAAGGCAUCUUUUAUGGUUGAAAAUUCCGAUGGAUAGAGAUGGGCAUGCGUUGUAUUAGCUAGUUGGUGGGGUAACGGCUCACCAAGGCGACGAUACAUAGGGGGACUGAGAGGUUAACCCCCCACACUGGUACUGAGACACGGACCAGACUCCUACGGGAGGCAGCAGUGAGGAAUAUUGGUCAAUGGACGCAAGUCUGAACCAGCCAUGCCGCGUGCAGGAUGACGGCUCUAUGAGUUGUAAACUGCUUUUGUACGAGGGUAAACGCAGAUACGUGUAUCUGUCUGAAAGUAUCGUACGAAUAAGGAUCGGCUAACUCCGUG
Molecule: ribosomal RNA, 488 nt
Filed under: uncultured bacterium
Lineage: Bacteria
Description: partial 16S ribosomal RNA
Rfam family: Bacterial small subunit ribosomal RNA
Source: RNAcentral